Choloepus didactylus (southern two-toed sloth) is the source of this 1937-nucleotide long non-coding RNA. RefSeq lists it as uncharacterized. The record is from RefSeq and is a predicted model, not a curated record. NCBI's taxonomy places the organism in Eukaryota, Metazoa, Chordata, Mammalia, Pilosa, Megalonychidae. The transcript is spliced from 4 exons.
UGGGGGGGGGUCACAUCUCCAUGGAAAUAAUGUAAUCAAAGGAUCUCACCCACAAUAGAUCUGCCCCCACAAGGUUGCAUUAAAGAAUGUGGCUUUUGUGGGGGACAUGAUAGAUUCCAACUAGCACACUGCCUUUUCUCCCACACGGUGGGGCAAGCAAACUUCGCUGACAGCUCACCAAGUGCCCGGCUCGCGAUGACGCAGUUCCCGUCUGCUGAGGCUCAGCUGAGGAAUGGCAAACUUGGGGGUCUCUGCCCAGCCCACAGCCCCUUCUUGAGAAGACCCCCCCACCUUGAGUGGGGUGACCCAGAGGGGGUGGUCAGACCAGGGACAGUGGAGUGAGGACCCAGCCUCUGCAGUGUUGGAGAUUGGCGGUGGCACUGCAUCCACCAGAGCCGGGAGUCAGAGGGGAGUAGGGACAGACAGCUCAGGAGAGCUGGGGACUGUCCACCUGGCUGGGGACCGUCCACCCAGAAGCUUUCUGCACUACUCCACAGGAACCUGCUUGAGAGCCCCCUCCCGGAGCCAGCUGGUGAGCCUCUGAGCCCAGAACCAGGAGUGGCAACAUCUCUCAGUUCAGCCAGCCACCGUGCCGUCCCACCACAAGAUCCUGAAAUCGUGGUGCCAAAUCCACUGGCACCUUCUCAGAGGCCCUGGGGUCAUUUCCACAAAAGGGUCUCCUUCCUGCCCUGCUGGGGAUGCCGUACCCCAUGGUCAGCACGGAUGCCUCAGAGAUGCCGGUUUAUCUGGAGAUGGCACCACAGCCCGUGCCCCGGGGCUCCUUAUGCUUCAACGUCUAGAGCCAUCACCCUGGGUUUCCUUCCGUUCUUUUCCCAAUCGAGAAAACUCUGCUGCCUCGAGGUUGUCUCCGUUUGCUUGGGCUACUACAACAAAUGUCACACACCGGUGGCUUAAACAACAGGAAUUUAUCGUCUCAUGGAUUUGGAGGCUGGAAAUCCAACACCAAGUUCUCUGGGAUAUACACCUGAAGUGGGGUUGCUGGCUCAGAUGGUAAUUCUAUUUUUAACCGAGGAACGCCAUAUUGCUUCCCACGCACGUGGUGAAGGGUCUGUGUGCCCUGGAAAAGAAGGUGAAUUUUAAAGCACACGUGAAGAAUGCUGGCGGAAUCUGGUUCAACCACUUUGGAAAACUCUCUGCCAUCUUUUUGUAACGCUCUACAUGUACCUACCACCCGGCGUAGCCCUUUCAGGCCUAAAUUGAUAUCCAAGUGAAAUGAAAACACGUGUCCACACAAAGACUUGUUGAUCAGUGUUCAUUGCAGCUUUGUUUGUAAAGGCCCCAAACGACCACCGGUGAACGGAUAAACAAAACGGGGUACGUCCAUACGGUGGGGCGGUACUCAUCAAAGAAAGCAGCUACGGAUCCAGCAACAGCUGAGUGAAAGAAGCCAGACACAGAAGAGAAUACACCGUAUGAGUCCACUUAAAUGGAAUUCUAGGGAAAUGCAAACUGAUCAAUACUGACAGGCAGCGAUCAGCGUUGGCCUGGGACAUAGAGGGGAGCAAGAGAAGACUUCGGAGUGGCACUAGGAAACUUGGGCAGGGGGUGAAAAAUAUCUUUACAUUGAUUGUUGCCUUGGUCAUCUGAGCAUGUAUAUCUGUCAAAACUUACCAAACUGUUCCCUUUAAAUGGGUGCAGUUUAUUACAUGUAAAAUAUACCUCAAAAUUUUAUUUUUGGAAGCAACCCAAGUGUCCAUCAGCUCAAGUGCUUAUCCAUGAAUGGAUAAACAAAAAGUGGUCUAGCCAUACAAUGGAAUAUGAUUUAGCCAUGCGACAAAAUGUAUGAACCUCGGAGACAUCGUGUUGACUGAAAGAAGCCAGCCAGAAAAGGGCAGAUGUUGUGUGAUUUCUGUUACACAAAUUACUUUAAUUAGCAAAUUCAUAAAGACAGAAAGCAGAAUAGUGGUUAUCAGGGC